ACCUUAACUUAAUACAUACCUUCAAUAUCUUAGAAGAUUUACAAUGAUAUUUUUGUCUGAAAAUUUAAUAGAUCUAACUGCAACAUAAUUUAAUCUUGCACUUUGACUUUGCUUCUGUCUUUAUUCGAGCUUUCAUCUAAAUCUGAAAAUUUUAUCAUGAUAUAGCAAGGGUGAGCAACAAAUUUGCCCAGCAAGUUUUAAAUACAAUGAAGAUAUAUCAUGAUUGAAAAGAAUGAAUAAGCUUUCAAGUUUUCAAUAAUAUAAUAAUUGUGAAAUAACAUGAAUCAAGUUUCAAUAAUUUCAUAACUGAAUCAAUAAUGUUUGAAGGUCAACAACGACCAUAAACAAUUUAACUGAACCUUAUGGUAAUGAAGGUGAUCAGCCUUCCAUACCUGAUGAACAUAUGCAACAUGCACUAAGUGCGAAUCAAUAAUCAGUUUAGACAUGAAUAAUCAUCAAUAAUCAUUCACUAACAUACUUUGAAAUAUAACUCGAGUUUGAGUUAAGGAAACUUGCCUGAUUCGUUGACUACUGCUACGCAGUUUAAGUUAACUUCUUUUGGUAAGACCUAUCAUUAAUAAUAAGAUUGGUCUUUCAAUCAGCAUAUUCUACUUUGUAUCAUAAUACAAUUACUUUAUUAAUAAAUUAUCUAACAAUUAAUCAAAUAUUAGAUAACAUCUUAACACAUUAGUAUUAUUAUCAUUCUUUGAUAAUUCUUCAAUCACUGUAUCAUAUACAUUAUGAUUUAUCACUCGCUUUUUCAUUUCAUAAGUUAUUCUUUAACAUCUAUUAAGUUAAAUACUAAUCCAGCCACCUGGAUUCUAAAUCCAACAACCCAAACUGCAAUCCAGCUAACUGGAUUCCANNNNNNNNNNNNNNNNNNNNNNNNNNNNNNNNNNNNNNNNNNNNNNNNNNNNNNNNNNNNNNNNNNNNNNNNNNNNNNNNNNNNNNNNNNNNNNNNNNNNUCAGCAACCUAAACUGUAAUCCAGCUAACUGGAUUCCAAAUCUAGCAACUAGAUUGCAAUCCAGCAAGCCUAGAUUCACCAAUCCAUCAAUCCAGCAAGCUGGAUUCUAAAUCCUUCAAUUUUAGUAAGCUUUUUUUCAAUCCAGCAAGCUGAAUUCAUCAAAUUUUCUAAUCCAGCAAGCUGGAUUCCAUAUCCUUUUCAUGAAAAACACUAAAUCAACUUAUUAUUUUUCUAUCUUUUGCCCAAACACAUAAUAUAGUUCAUUGAAUAUCAAUUUCAACAAUUACAUUGAAAAAUAUCAUAAAUCUCUUAUUUUAAUCAUCCGUCGAAUAUUAUUAAUUAUGUAAUAAUAUUUUACGCUAAGGUUAUUAACCUUUUAAUAACAUUACAUUCAAAUACUACUAAUAAUAUCUUAAUCCAAUAUUAUUAGUCAUAUAACAAUAAGUUAAGUCAUUAAUCACAUUAAUAAACAAUUAUUUUUAAUUGUUUUCCUUUUAUUAAUACACUUGUUUAAGCAUUCUAAAAUGCCAUAAACAUCACAACACUUCACACCCGACCCAAAACUUCAUCAAAAACCUGCAUAAGCCAUGCUCAAGGGUCUCAAGUCAUAAAUCGUACUUUUCAUAUUUUUGAACAUCAUAUAUAUAAUUAAAUCCAUUUAUCCAUUUAUCAUCAUUUAUAUGAAAAAUACCAAAUCAGUUCCAAAAAUAUUUUUUUUCUGGGAUUUGACAGAAUAUAGUUCCAUAUUGAACAUAUAUUUUUUCCGAAAUUUUUAAAAUCCAUUUACUAUAUUUAAAUAGUCCAUAAUAGCCAAAUAUUCUCCGAUUUUUCAUAAAUCGAGAUUAACUCCAAAUAUUUUGAAAUUUUUACAGUAUGCUCCUGCUAUACACAUGUACUUCCAGUAACAAUUUUGUAAUUUUUGGACUUAUACACAGAGAGUUAUUCGGGUGGCUUCAUAAAAAUAGUCCUUCACCGUAAAAUCCAUAACUCUCAAACCGUAUGGCCAAAAAUUCUCCAAUUUUUACAAAACCUGCAUAUCUUCUGAUAUUAACAUUCCAAAUAUUUUCAGAAUUUUUAAAGUACAAAAAGUGGACAAAACUGCCCCCGUUUCAGACUGCCCCAAAACAGUCUUAUUUUCUUUUCCAUUUUGGCUUAAUCAGCCACUACACCAUGAAAACUCAACAUUUUUGAGUUCUACCACUUGGGUUAACUAGUAAACACGUAUAUCUAGCACCCCUCUUUGACGGAUCAUAAAAAGGAGUUAUAGAUUUAAAACGGUGGAUUUUCAAAGUACAUAGAAAUUUUUGAUUUCAAAACUAGAAAAAUUAUUUUUCUUUUCCUUUUUGAUUCCAACAAAUAAACACCCAAUAUGGCUAAAUCCAUACUUGAAUCCAUGGAAAACACAUUGAUCAUAGGGGUUUGAACUUUCAAAUCAAAAACCCCCUUUAUCAAAUAAAAAAAAAUAAAUGAAGAAAUUAUACCUUUGUUUUUCUUCUUCUCCUUCCUUCUUCCAUGGAGAACCUUCUCUCUCCUCUUCUUCUCCCUCAUGGGCUGCCGCCCCUCCUCUCUUACUCCUCCAUGGCUUCGGCCACUUCUUCUUCUCUCUCUUUCUCUUUCCCGUUUCUUUCUUUUUCUUUCUUUCUCUUCUUUUUCCUUUCUCUUUCUCUCUCUUCUUCUCUUAUC
This 2648-nucleotide long non-coding RNA is filed under the name Panax ginseng (ginseng). RNAcentral describes it as "long non-coding RNA (PGIN_LNC006760)". Lineage: Eukaryota; Viridiplantae; Streptophyta; Magnoliopsida; Apiales; Araliaceae. The record is from RNAcentral.